GGGGGUGUAGCUCAGUUGGGAGAGCACCUGCCUUGCAAGCAGGGGGUCGAGAGUUCGAGUCUCUUAAUCUCCA
Molecule: transfer RNA, 73 nt
Filed under: Acetobacterium sp.
Lineage: Bacteria; Bacillati; Bacillota; Clostridia; Eubacteriales; Eubacteriaceae
Description: tRNA-Ala
Rfam family: tRNA
About the family: Transfer RNA (tRNA) molecules are approximately 80 nucleotides in length. Their secondary structure includes four short double-helical elements and three loops (D, anti-codon, and T loops). Further hydrogen bonds mediate the characteristic L-shaped molecular structure. tRNAs have two regions of fundamental functional importance: the anti-codon, which is responsible for specific mRNA codon recognition, and the 3' end, to which the tRNAs corresponding amino acid is attached (by aminoacyl-tRNA synthetases). tRNAs cope with the degeneracy of the genetic code in two manners: having more than one tRNA (with a specific anti-codon) for a particular amino acid; and 'wobble' base-pairing, i.e. permitting non-standard base-pairing at the 3rd anti-codon position.
Source: RNAcentral